GAUGAACGCUGGCGGCGUGCCUAAUACAUGCAAGUCGAGCGAACGGACGAGAAGCUUGCUCUUCUGAUGUUAGCGGCGGACGGGUGAGUAACACGUGGAUAACCUACCUAUAAGACUGGGAUAACUUCGGGAAACCGGAGCUAAUACCGGAUGAUAUUUUGAACCGCAUGGUUCAAAAGUGAAAGACGGUCUUGCUGUCACUUAUAGAUGGAUCCGCGCUGCAUUAGCUAGUUGGUAAGGUAACGGCUUACCAAGGCAACGAUGCAUAGCCGACCUGAGAGGGUGAUCGGCCACACUGGAACUGAGACACGGUCCAGACUCCUACGGGAGGCAGCAGUAGGGAAUCUUCCGCAAUGGGCGAAAGCCUGACGGAGCAACGCCGCGUGAGUGAAGAAGGUCUUCGGAUCGUAAAGCUCUUUUAUUAGGGAAGAACAGAUGUGUAAGUAACUGUGCACAUCUUGACGGUACCUAAUCAGAAAGCCACGGCUAACUACGUG
Molecule: ribosomal RNA, 497 nt
Filed under: uncultured bacterium
Lineage: Bacteria
Description: partial 16S ribosomal RNA
Rfam family: Bacterial small subunit ribosomal RNA
Source: RNAcentral